GACGAACGCUGGCGGCACGCUUAACACAUGCAAGUCGAACGAGAGAAGAGAAGCUUGCUUUUCUGAUCUAGUGGCGGACGGGUGAGUAACACGUGAGCAAUCUGCCUUUCAGAGGGGGAUACCGAUUGGAAACGAUCGUUAAUACCGCAUAAUAUAAUUGAACCGCAUGAUUUGAUUAUCAAAGAUUUAUCGCUGAAAGAUGAGCUCGCGUCUGAUUAGCUAGUUGGUAAGGUAACGGCUUACCAAGGCGACGAUCAGUAGCCGGACUGAGAGGUUGAUCGGCCACAUUGGGACUGAGACACGGCCCAGACUCCUACGGGAGGCAGCAGUGGGGAAUAUUGCACAAUGGAGGAAACUCUGAUGCAGCGAUGCCGCGUGAGGGAAGAAGGUUUUAGGAUUGUAAACCUCUGUCUUCAGGGACGAAAAAAGACGGUACCUGAGGAGGAAGCUCCGGCUAACUACGUGCCAGCAGCCGCGGUAAUACGUAGGGAGCGAGCGUUGUCCGGAAUUACUGGGUGUAAAGGGAGCGUAGGCGGGAUCGCAAGUCAGAUGUGAAAACUAUGGGCUUAACCCAUAAACUGCAUUUGAAACUGUGGUUCUUGAGUGAAGUAGAGGUAAGCGGAAUUCCUAGUGUAGCGGUGAAGUGCGUAGAUAUUAGGAGGAACAUCAGUGGCGAAGGCGGCUUACUGGGCUUUAACUGACGCUGAGGCUCGAAAGCGUGGGGAGCAAACAGGAUUAGAUACCCUGGUAGUCCACGCCGUAAACGAUGAUUACUAGGUGUGGGGGGACUGACCCCUUCCGUGCCGCAGCAAACGCAAUAAGUAAUCCACCUGGGGAGUACGACCGCAAGGUUGAAACUCAAAGGAAUUGACGGGGGCCCGCACAAGCAGUGGAGUAUGUGGAUUAAUUCGAAGCAACGCGAAGAACCUUACCAGGUCUUGACAUCGUAUGCAUAGCUCAGAGAUGAGUGAAAUCUCUUCGGAGACAUAUAGACAGGUGGUGCAUGGUUGUCGUCAGCUCGUGUCGUGAGAUGUUGGGUUAAGUCCCGCAACGAGCGCAACCCUUACUGUUAGUUGCUACGCAAGAGCACUCUAGCAGGACUGCCGUUGACAAAACGGAGGAAGGUGGGGAUGACGUCAAAUCAUCAUGCCCCUUAUGACCUGGGCCUCACACGUACUACAAUGGCUGUCAACAGAGGGAUGCAAAGCCGCGAGGUGGAGCGAACCCCUAAAAGCAGUCUUAGUUCGGAUUGUAGGCUGCAACCCGCCUACAUGAAGUCGGAAUUGCUAGUAAUCGCAGAUCAGCAUGCUGCGGUGAAUACGUUCCCGGGCCUUGUACACACCGCCCGUCACGCCAUGGGAGUCGGUAACACCCGAAGCCAAUAGUCUAACCGCAAGGAGGACGCAGUCGAAGGUGGGACC
RNAcentral lists this ribosomal RNA (1421 nucleotides) under uncultured organism. Its description in RNAcentral is "SSU rRNA". It matches the Rfam family "Bacterial small subunit ribosomal RNA". The record is from RNAcentral.